GCUGGCACUACAUCCUGGUGCUACUGUUCGAUGUUAGCACCGAAAACCAGCCCGAAUACGAAUGGGCGUCUCCAACAGCUGUCCCCACAGCUCUCCUCUGUGUGCGCUGAUCACAGCAUUUAUCACAGUCUUUGACUGAUGACUCACUCGUCUACCUGUUCACCUAGUCUCCAGAUCCCUAAGGAAAAUAGGCAUCUUGUCCAUCUUUAAACGCCCAGUCCUAGCACAGUGACUAGUCCUACAGAGAAGAAGUGAAAUGAAUACUAAAUAAAUAAAUGAUUACCUGAAAUGAUAACGAUUUUCUCAGACUUAGUUUCAAACCCAUCU
Molecule: long non-coding RNA, 327 nt
Filed under: Bos taurus (domestic cattle)
Lineage: Eukaryota; Metazoa; Chordata; Mammalia; Artiodactyla; Bovidae
Description: long non-coding RNA NONBTAT008323
Source: RNAcentral